GGAAUGACUGGGCGUAAAGGGCAUGUAGGUGGUGAAUCGGGUUGAAAGUGAAAGUCGCCAAAAAGUGGCGGAAUGCUCUCGAAACCAAUUCACUUGAGUGAGACAGAGGAGAGUGGAAUUUCGUGUGUAGGGGUGAAAUCUGUAGAUCUUGCAUUGAUUUUUAUGCGUGGACAAUUUAUUGGAUUUUAUACUGAUAUACAUUUAUUUUUAAAAUCAGUCUGAAUGUGACUCGAAAUUUCGGGAUUAAAAACAGUUCAGACCGCACC
Molecule: non-coding RNA, 266 nt
Filed under: Triticum aestivum (bread wheat)
Lineage: Eukaryota; Viridiplantae; Streptophyta; Magnoliopsida; Poales; Poaceae
Also listed under: 1 other name
Description: Bacterial small subunit ribosomal RNA
Rfam family: Bacterial small subunit ribosomal RNA
Source: Rfam by way of RNAcentral